Molecule: transfer RNA, 82 nt
Filed under: Halomonas sp. ALS9
Lineage: Bacteria; Pseudomonadati; Pseudomonadota; Gammaproteobacteria; Oceanospirillales; Halomonadaceae
Description: tRNA-Met
Source: RNAcentral
GGGUUAACUAGAAUCAGAUAUACCGCAGCUCCAGGGACUCAUAAUCCCUUGGUCGUAGGUUCAAGUCCUACUGGGCCCACCA